This 497-nucleotide ribosomal RNA is filed under the name uncultured bacterium. RNAcentral's name for it is "partial 16S ribosomal RNA". It matches the Rfam family "Bacterial small subunit ribosomal RNA", at positions 28 to 507 of the family's 1533-position model. The record is from RNAcentral.
GACGAACGCUGGCGGCGUGCCUAAUACAUGCAAGUUGAGCGCUGAAGGUUGGUACUUGUACCAACUGGAUGAGCAGCGAACGGGUGAGUAACGCGUGGGGAAUCUGCCUUUGAGCGGGGGACAACAUUUGGAAACGAAUGCUAAUACCGCAUAAAAACUUUAAACACAAGUUUUAAGUUUGAAAGAUGCAAUUGCAUCACUCAAAGAUGAUCCCGCGUUGUAUUAGCUAGUUGGUGAGGUAAAGGCUCACCAAGGCGAUGAUACAUAGCCGACCUGAGAGGGUGAUCAGCCGCAGUGGGACUGAGACAGGGCACAAAGGGCUACGGGAGGCAGCAGGAGGGAAUCGUCGGGAAGGGACGAAAGUCUGACCGAGCAACGCCGCGGGAGGGAAGAAGGUUGUCGGAUCGGAAAACUCUGUUGGUAGAGAAGAACGUUGGUGAGAGUGGAAAGCUCAGCAAGUGACGGUAACUACCCAGAAAGGGACGGCUAACUACGUG